This 68-nucleotide transfer RNA is filed under the name Acanthopleura vaillantii. Its description in RNAcentral is "tRNA-Ser". Lineage: Eukaryota; Metazoa; Mollusca; Polyplacophora; Chitonida; Chitonidae. The record is from RNAcentral.
AAGAAUAGUCUGGGACAAGCCGUAGCUGCUAACUAUGACUUAAGUGGUUCGAUUCCAUUUUGUUUUUU